AGGUAACGCGCCUGCUUUGCUGAGAAUUCUGUGUCGAACCAGAGGAGAUGCCGGAGGUGAAGUCGAUGUUCCGGGAGGUGCUGCCCAAACAAGCUGUGUGUGGAAGACGUUCCCACCAUGGUGCUGUGCAAGCCCAAAAUCCUGCCGCUCAAAUCCGUCACCCUUGAAAAACUGGAGAAG
Xenopus tropicalis (tropical clawed frog) is the source of this 180-nucleotide non-coding RNA. The record is from RefSeq and is a predicted model, not a curated record. Lineage: Eukaryota; Metazoa; Chordata; Amphibia; Anura; Pipidae.